GACAGAGGUGCCAAGCGUUAGGCGGAAUCACUGGGCUUAAAGCGUGUGUAGGCGGAUUUGUAAGUACCUUGUGAAAUCCCACGGCUCAACCGUGGAACUACUCGGUAUACUGCUUAUCUUGAGCCACUUAGGGGCUACCGGAACAAAUGGUGGAGCGGUGAAAUGCGUAGAUAUCAUUUGGAACGCCAAUGGUGAAAACAGGUAGCUGGGAGUGUGCUGACGCUGAGACACGAAAGCCAGGGGAGCGAACGGG
This 253-nucleotide ribosomal RNA is filed under the name uncultured bacterium. Its description in RNAcentral is "partial 16S ribosomal RNA". It matches the Rfam family "Bacterial small subunit ribosomal RNA", at positions 524 to 776 of the family's 1533-position model. The record is from RNAcentral.